CAGUCGCCGCGGUAAUACGAAGGGGGCUAGCGUUGUUCGGAAUUACUGGGCGUAAAGGGCGCGUAGGCGGCCAUUCAAGUUAGAUGUGAAAGCCCUGGGCUCAACCUAGGAAUUGCAUUUGAUACUGUUUGGCUUGAGUUCGGGAGAGGUGAGUGGAAUUCCCAGUGUAGAGGUGAAAUUCGUAGAUAUUGGGAAGAACACCAGUGGCGAAGGCGGCUCACUGGACCGACACUGACGCUGAGGCGCGAAAGCGUGGGGAGCAAACAGGAUUAGAUACCCCCGUAGUCCCUGUCUCUUAUAA
Molecule: ribosomal RNA, 301 nt
Filed under: uncultured bacterium
Lineage: Bacteria
Description: partial 16S ribosomal RNA
Rfam family: Bacterial small subunit ribosomal RNA
Source: RNAcentral